GUACUCACUUCAGCAACACAGAUACUGAUAUUGCUAUGAUAUACUGAAGAUUAGCAUGGCCCCUGAACAAUGAUGACACGCACAUCUGUAAAGUGUUCCAUAUUUAA
This is a small nuclear RNA of Rhinolophus ferrumequinum (greater horseshoe bat), 107 nucleotides long. NCBI's taxonomy places the organism in Eukaryota, Metazoa, Chordata, Mammalia, Chiroptera, Rhinolophidae. The record is from Ensembl.